This 126-nucleotide microRNA precursor is filed under the name Dasypus novemcinctus (nine-banded armadillo). RNAcentral's name for it is "miRNA (ENSDNOG00000041765.1)". Lineage: Eukaryota; Metazoa; Chordata; Mammalia; Cingulata; Dasypodidae. The record is from RNAcentral.
UGUAUUUCUAAUCUACAAGCAAUAUGCCUGUCAUGAGCCAGACUCCUAUGCUCUGCUGUGGCUGAUUGGCUUCCAAGGGUGCAUCCACAGUUUCCAUGAAACUUAACUGGAUCACCCAGCUUCCAA